AUUGAACGCUGGCGGCAGGCCUAACACAUGCAAGUCGAGCGAGGGGCGGACGGGUGAGUAAUGUAUGGGGACUGCCCGAAAGAGGGGGAUAACUACUGGAAACGGGGGCUAAUACCGCAUACUAUCGGAUAACCCAUAUGGGAUUAGCUAGUAGGUGGGGUAAAGGCUCACCUAGGCGACGAUCUCUAGCUGGUCUGAGAGGAUGAUCAGCCAACCUGGGACUGAGACACGGCCCAGACUCCUACGGGGGCGGCAGUGGGGAAUAUUGCACAAUGGCCGCAAGCCUGAUGCCGCCAUGCCGGGUGUAUGAAGAAGGCCUUAGGGUUGUAAAGUACUUUCAGCGAGGAGGCGUUACCCGCAGAGGAAGCCCCGGCUAACUCCGUGCCAGCAGCCGCGGUAAUUC
RNAcentral lists this ribosomal RNA (403 nucleotides) under uncultured bacterium. RNAcentral describes it as "partial 16S ribosomal RNA". It matches the Rfam family "Bacterial small subunit ribosomal RNA", at positions 30 to 526 of the family's 1533-position model. The record is from RNAcentral.